AGAGUUUGAUCCUGGCUCAGGACGAACGCUGGCGGCGUGCCUAAUACAUGCAAGUCGAGCGGACAGAUGGGAGCUUGCUCCCUGAUGUUAGCGGCGGACGGGUGAGUAACACGUGGGUAACCUGCCUGUAAGACUGGGAUAACUCCGGGAAACCGGGGCUAAUACCGGAUGGUUGUUUGCACCGCAUGGUUCAAACAUAAAAGGUGGCUUCGGCUACCACUUACAGAUGGACCCGCGGCGCAUUAGCUAGUUGGUGAGGUAACGGCUCACCAAGGUAACGAUGCGUAGCCGACCUGAGAGGGUGAUCGGCCACACUGGGACUGAGACACGGCCCAGACUCCUACGGGAGGCAGCAGUAGGGAAUCUUCCGCAAUGGACGAAAGUCUGACGGAGCAACGCCGCGUGAGUGAUGAAGGUUUUCGGAUCGUAAAGCUCUGUUGUUAGGGAAGAACAAGUACCGUUCGAAUAGGGCGGUACCUUGACGGUACCUAACCAGAAAGCCACGGCUAACUACGUGCCAGCAGCCGCGGUAAUACGUAGGUGGCAAGCGUUGUCCGGAAUUAUUGGGCGUAAAGGGCUCGCAGGCGGUUUCUUAAGUCUGAUGUGAAAGCCCCCGGCUCAACCGGGGAGGGUCAUUGGAAACUGGGGAACUUGAGUGCAGAAGAGGAGAGUGGAAUUCCACGUGUAGCGGUGAAAUGCGUAGAGAUGUGGAGGAACACCAGUGGCGAAGGCGACUCUCUGGUCUGUAACUGACGCUGAGGAGCGAAAGCGUGGGGAGCGAACAGGAUUAGAUACCCUGGUAGUCCACGCCGUAAACGAUGAGUGCUAAGUGUUAGGGGGUUUCCGCCCCUUAGUGCUGCAGCUAACGCAUUAAGCACUCCGCCUGGGGGGUACGGUCGCAAGACUGAAACUCAAAGGAAUUGACGGGGGCCCGCACAAGCGGUGGAGCAUGUGGUUUAAUUCGAAGCAACGCGAAGAACCUUACCAGGUCUUGACAUCCUCUGACAAUCCUAGAGAUAGGACGUCCCCUUCGGGGGCAGAGUGACAGGUGGUGCAUGGUUGUCGUCAGCUCGUGUCGUGAGAUGUUGGGUUAAGUCCCGCAACGAGCGCAACCCUUGAUCUUAGUUGCCAGCAUUCAGUUGGGCACUCUAAGGUGACUGCCGGUGACAAACCGGAGGAAGGUGGGGAUGACGUCAAAUCAUCAUGCCCCUUAUGACCUGGGCUACACACGUGCUACAAUGGACAGAACAAAGGGCAGCGAAACCGCGAGGUUAAGCCAAUCCCACAAAUCUGUUCUCAGUUCGGAUCGCAGUCUGCAACUCGACUGCGUGAAGCUGGAAUCGCUAGUAAUCGCGGAUCAGCAUGCCGCGGUGAAUACGUCCCCGGGCCUUGUACACACCGCCCGUCACACCACGAGAGUUUGUAACACCCGAAGUCGGUGAGGUAACCUUUUAGGAGCCAGCCGCCGAAGGUGGGACAGAUGAUUGGGGUGAAGUCGUAACAAGGUA
This 1508-nucleotide ribosomal RNA is filed under the name metagenome. Its description in RNAcentral is "bacterial SSU rRNA". It matches the Rfam family "Bacterial small subunit ribosomal RNA". The record is from RNAcentral.